Molecule: long non-coding RNA, 594 nt
Filed under: Mus musculus (house mouse)
Lineage: Eukaryota; Metazoa; Chordata; Mammalia; Rodentia; Muridae
Description: predicted gene, 48984
Source: RNAcentral
UGUCGUAUGUGGGUGUUUUUCUCUUCCAAAAGUUUCAAACUGCCAGCUCUCCCACCUAAAGGCACCUGGUGGAAAAACAUGUCCUCACACUCAGUGGACUUCCCUGGAGAGCAGGGACCAGCUCACUUGGUCUUUAGAGGCUUGGCAGAAAUUUUCCCUCAUGGUCUCCAGCCCCCACCUCCUAACACACAUAUCACCAAAGCCAGAGGGACAGCACUGACCCCUCAAAGCACCGUAACUCGUCCCUUUCAAGACUGUCGCUGAGGGAUGGAGCACUGAGACUUUUCACCAAGCGACCCUGCCUUCUCUAAUUUGAUUUUCUGGAUCCCAGACUUUCAUCUUCUGAAUCGCUGCUUAUCCCGGGUACCGGGGUGAUCAGCUCCCCAACAAUUGUUUGGUUGAUUGUGGCUCAAGAUUUAAAUUUUCGUCUCAAAGAAGAAUUUAAAUCUCUUAAUUCUCCAAAACUCACCUACCCUCCACCCACUGGGCACCUCCCUCCCUCCCUGGCUUCCCCGCCUGCCUGCCCGGUGCAUAAGGUCUUCUUGCCUUUGACAUCACUCAACUCUUUGAAUAAAAGAGGUUGGAAUUUUGUUA